CUCUCUCUCUCUCUCUCUCUCUCUCUCUCUCUCCCUCUCUCUCUCUCUCUCUCUCUCUCUCUCUCUCUCUCUCAUAGGGCUGACAACAAUAGGGCAUACUCAGCCCUUGCCAAUCUAUAUUCAGCUUUGGGAGAUCAUGGAAGGAUGCUGCUGAAAUUAGAAAAUCAAUGAGAGAUAGAGGAGUGAAGAAAGAGUAAGGAUUCAGCUGGUUUUAGAUAUAGAACAAAGUCCAUGUCUUUGGGAGAGAAUAUGGGCUUCUCCCACAAAAGAAUGCUAUAUAUGAUAUGGUACCAAAUAUCUAGAAAAACAUAAAAAACAUAGGUUUCAUUCUGCGAAUUAGAUGUUAAAUAAUGCUUAAUUUAUCUUGAUUUCUAUGUAUGUAUGUGGUUUAACCAUAUGUGUUGAACAAUUGUGCUCAAGUUUUCCUGGAUAUUUCAUCGUUCUAUUUGACUACUGAAAUUAUUUUUUUGC
Long non-coding RNA from Carya illinoinensis, 471 nucleotides. RefSeq lists it as uncharacterized. The record is from RefSeq and is a predicted model, not a curated record. The transcript has 2 exons. Lineage: Eukaryota; Viridiplantae; Streptophyta; Magnoliopsida; Fagales; Juglandaceae.